RNAcentral lists this ribosomal RNA (1539 nucleotides) under Klebsiella quasipneumoniae. RNAcentral's name for it is "bacterial SSU rRNA". It matches the Rfam family "Bacterial small subunit ribosomal RNA". The record is from RNAcentral. Lineage: Bacteria; Pseudomonadati; Pseudomonadota; Gammaproteobacteria; Enterobacterales; Enterobacteriaceae.
AAAUUGAAGAGUUUGAUCAUGGCUCAGAUUGAACGCUGGCGGCAGGCCUAACACAUGCAAGUCGAGCGGUAGCACAGAGAGCUUGCUCUCGGGUGACGAGCGGCGGACGGGUGAGUAAUGUCUGGGAAACUGCCUGAUGGAGGGGGAUAACUACUGGAAACGGUAGCUAAUACCGCAUAACGUCGCAAGACCAAAGUGGGGGACCUUCGGGCCUCAUGCCAUCAGAUGUGCCCAGAUGGGAUUAGCUAGUAGGUGGGGUAACGGCUCACCUAGGCGACGAUCCCUAGCUGGUCUGAGAGGAUGACCAGCCACACUGGAACUGAGACACGGUCCAGACUCCUACGGGAGGCAGCAGUGGGGAAUAUUGCACAAUGGGCGCAAGCCUGAUGCAGCCAUGCCGCGUGUGUGAAGAAGGCCUUCGGGUUGUAAAGCACUUUCAGCGGGGAGGAAGGCGAGAAGGUUAAUAACCUUGUCGAUUGACGUUACCCGCAGAAGAAGCACCGGCUAACUCCGUGCCAGCAGCCGCGGUAAUACGGAGGGUGCAAGCGUUAAUCGGAAUUACUGGGCGUAAAGCGCACGCAGGCGGUCUGUCAAGUCGGAUGUGAAAUCCCCGGGCUCAACCUGGGAACUGCAUUCGAAACUGGCAGGCUAGAGUCUUGUAGAGGGGGUAGAAUUCCAGGUGUAGCGGUGAAAUGCGUAGAGAUCUGGAGGAAUACCGGUGGCGAAGGCGGCCCCCUGGACAAAGACUGACGCUCAGGUGCGAAAGCGUGGGGAGCAAACAGGAUUAGAUACCCUGGUAGUCCACGCCGUAAACGAUGUCGAUUUGGAGGUUGUGCCCUUGAGGCGUGGCUUCCGGAGCUAACGCGUUAAAUCGACCGCCUGGGGAGUACGGCCGCAAGGUUAAAACUCAAAUGAAUUGACGGGGGCCCGCACAAGCGGUGGAGCAUGUGGUUUAAUUCGAUGCAACGCGAAGAACCUUACCUGGUCUUGACAUCCACAGAACUUAGCAGAGAUGCUUUGGUGCCUUCGGGAACUGUGAGACAGGUGCUGCAUGGCUGUCGUCAGCUCGUGUUGUGAAAUGUUGGGUUAAGUCCCGCAACGAGCGCAACCCUUAUCCUUUGUUGCCAGCGGUCCGGCCGGGAACUCAAAGGAGACUGCCAGUGAUAAACUGGAGGAAGGUGGGGAUGACGUCAAGUCAUCAUGGCCCUUACGACCAGGGCUACACACGUGCUACAAUGGCAUAUACAAAGAGAAGCGACCUCGCGAGAGCAAGCGGACCUCAUAAAGUAUGUCGUAGUCCGGAUUGGAGUCUGCAACUCGACUCCAUGAAGUCGGAAUCGCUAGUAAUCGUAGAUCAGAAUGCUACGGUGAAUACGUUCCCGGGCCUUGUACACACCGCCCGUCACACCAUGGGAGUGGGUUGCAAAAGAAGUAGGUAGCUUAACCUUCGGGAGGGCGCUUACCACUUUGUGAUUCAUGACUGGGGUGAAGUCGUAACAAGGUAACCGUAGGGGAACCUGCGGUUGGAUCACCUCCUUA